Hemibagrus wyckioides is the source of this 3486-nucleotide long non-coding RNA. RefSeq lists it as uncharacterized. Lineage: Eukaryota; Metazoa; Chordata; Actinopteri; Siluriformes; Bagridae. The record is from RefSeq and is a predicted model, not a curated record. The transcript is spliced from 3 exons.
GUGUAAGUAAAUGAUUAAUAAACAAUGUAAAUGUACAUUUAUACAUUAGAUGUACUGUUAAUGAGUGUUAAUAAAUGCUUUAUAAACACAUAUUCUAAAUAUAAAUCAUGAUUAAUUCAGGUACAUAAAAACCAUUUACUAGUUGUUAGUUAACUAUUUUUCUGAGCUCAUCUAAAGCGAGGACUAUCUAUGCCUUAUAAAGCAGUUACAAAGGAGAUUUAAAGGCUCAGUUAUUUUCUCAACAGAAAAAGGAAACAAACACAGCAAAGAGUGAUACAGUACAUAGAAAUAUUUAUUUCAAGAUGCACAAAAUGGAACUGUACAACUUUACAUUUAAAAAAUAAACCUCUUUUAUAAAAACCUCAAAUAAAAAUCUCAUAUAAUGUAACAAAAAUGAACAAAAUAAGCAACAAAAUAAAAAGAAUAUUAGCAAAAUGUGUUAACAAAGUAAAAAGUUUUGAAAGUGAAAAUUCAGUGCAAUGAGUCACAAAAAGUACAAAACUGUAAACUUGUAAACCUCCAGACAAUGUAACUCUGCUGUAAUAUGAAAUUAAACCUUAGCAAUCUGAUAGAAAAAUAAAUUUCUGCAGUGUAGACAUUGGUGGUGGCUCAAGUGGUUAAAGCUCGGGGUAAUUGACCAGAAGAUCGCGGUUCAAGCCCCAGCACCGCCAAGUUGCCACUGUUGGGCCCUUGAGCAAGGCCCUUAACCCUCUCUGCUCCAGGGCUGUGAUUUUAUCUUCUAUAGCUGGAUCUUCCUGAAUUGCAGCAGCACAUUGUGUGGCAAAUGCACCAAUUGUAAUUUGACUAUUGUGGUUUUUAAGCAGUUCCUGAUACUUGACAGGUGCAGCGAAGAACAGCUCUGCGAUUGGAGCACUUACUACCACUGUGUUCCAGUCCACCCCAACAUGCUUGAAAGCAGCUAACAUGGUCCCUCUUCUACUGAAGUGGCGAAGAAUUUUUUUGUAUUGGAUCACCACCUGCUGUGGGUUUUGAGCUGUAACUCAGAGAAAAUAGAAUUAGUGUUAGUAUUUGCUUUUAUUAUUCCCACACCCACCAUUGACUUACAUUGUUUCAAUCUAUAGUAUGAUACAUUCCACAAACAUCAGUUUAGAAUAAGAGCAGACCACCCCAGUUACACCCAGACAAUAUCAGAACAUUCCAACAUUAAAUGCUUAAAUUAAGCCCAUGAAUAAGGUUCCUAUUAUACAGAGUUGUGCUGAUUUAUUGGUUUAUCUAACCAAAAAAUAUUUCUCAUCGGGGUAGUUUAUAUAGUUUCCUGUAACCUCUACUGUGAAGUAGUUGAAAGCUUAUAAAGCUAUUAUGUAAUGCUUAAAAUUAGCAUUCUAACCUCUCUUACGUGUCUUUGCUUCAAUAUUCUUUGACUUCCUCCCAUACUUUUUUCCUUUUCCCUUCCUUUUUGUCCUCUUCUUCUUUCUGUUCCCCUCUGAUGAGGAUGUCUUAGAGGAAGAGUCAGACAUAGUAUCAGAGGAUGAUUCAUCUCAGAUGUCACUAAAGGAAUCUGAAGACAACGGAGUUGCCUGGACGGACCCUGUGUCCCCUCUUUUAAGAGCUUUUAAAUAGAUACAAAUACAUGCAUAAGACCCACAGCUAGUGGCACAUGGCACAUAGGAAUACAAAGUUAAACUAACAUAAGUUCACUGUACUAUAAUUUCAAUACAUUUUGUCUGUAGGGAGACUUGCCUGAUGCCAGCUGCUCUUUUAGAUAGUCUCUCUCUUUGGUCAGCUCAUCAGUCUUCUCCUUUUGCCACUCUACUGUGAGCUUACACAUCUCCAACUCAUGGGAAAUUAUUCAAUGGAUUUAGAACGUUCUUUUAACUUUACUGUUGUCUAACAAACUGUCAUCCUGCCCUGCCCCUGUAUAUUACACAAAGAGAAAAAAAAGUCUCCUGUUGACAGCUAGGUUUCUGCCAGCCUGAGGAUGUAUACAGUGCAGCGCGUCACAGCGCUCCCACCCCCCUGUGUGUCCCCCGCAUCAAGACCUGUAGCAAGCCACUAGCUUGCUAGCCAUCACUCAUAAAGCGCGCCUGUAAACCAAGAAAGAUACUCACCACUAGUGCCACUGAUGGACGAUUCAUCUAAUGUGUCCAUCUCCACGCAGUUCUAUGAAGAAUACCCUGAAGUUGAUUAAGUGUCUUCAGAAAAUAAAACUGCUAAAAAAAAAAUUAAAUGCACAAUAUGCCACCGGGAAAUGGAAAUGAAGAAAAGAACGAACAGUGGAGAUCAUUAUGCUUGGAUUUGUCGACAACACAUGAUGGAAGGGCAAAACAAAUUUCUGUCAGGUACAAAGCAAUCUUCAGUGCAUCAAAGGUCUCCUUCAGUAAGUGGAUUCAGUUCAUGUACAGGUUUUCACAGGGUCUACGGUUACGGCAGAGCGACAUGAUGGAUGACAGCAUUGCAGGCAGUUCAGCAACUAUGACAAAGAAAAAAAGAGAAAUCUGUGUCACAGCAGUGGAAAAGAUGAGAAGGCGUACAGGUCAGCAGAUUGGUGGAAGAAGGGAGUUUGUUGUGAUAGAUGAAAGCCAUUUUCGGCACAAAAGAAAGGUAUGUUACAGCAAUAUCAACUUUAAAUAAAUGUCAAAUUUAGUUUAACAUCUUAAAUUUAUGUUAAUGAAUGUUAAUUAUAGUACUCUGCUAAUUCAAUGUGAGGGGAUGUAAACUUCACCCUAAUCCUAACAUAAAUUUUAUUGCAUAUUAAGCCAGUAAAAAUGUACCAGAAGUAACAAAAAUGGUCAAGGAUUGUAUAAAUGAUAAGUUAUGAUAAAAUAAUGAAAACUACAACAUAGCAGCAUAGAAGCAACAUAGAAGCAACAUGUGCAGUAAAUAUCACGAUGAUGAAAACAAAAUCUCAAAUCAAAAAUGGGAUGCAAACGUUUGCACUAAACUGUACCAAAGUUACAGUUAUUAUGAUCUAUCUUGUUGUGGCUUUGUUUGUUGUGUUGGUUUUCGAUCAGUAUGGUAGGGUUAGGGUUAGAGUGAAUGGCUGGUGGGUGGAAAAGAAAGAAGUGGGUCUUUGGGAUGCUAGGUGUGACGCAUCAUUCACAGCGAAGAUCUGGAAAACCUAUUCUACAUCUUCUAGAGAGAAGAUCUAGAAGGCAUCUUGUCCCCUUGAUUGCCCAUCAUAUGAUACCCGGGUCAUCAAUUAUCAGUGACGAGUGGCGUGCAUAUCGCAUACUCCCUGCACUAGGGUAGAACCAUCACACUGUCAACCACAGCAGGUGGUAUGUAGAUCCCCACACUGGUGCCCAUACCCAGCAUAAUGAAAGGGCAUGGAGAGCCUACAAGGAGCAGAUCUGGAGGCUUAGGGGAAAUCAGACCGAGAGUUUGCUAUCUGACCACCUUACAGUUAUUGAGUGGAAUGAAUGGCUAGCAAAGAAACACCAUGGUGGUGCAUUUGGCAGACUGAUUCAUGACAUUUCAAAAAAGUACAAGUAGUCAUUCAGUCACUAUUACCACUGUAAGAGCACU